Molecule: ribosomal RNA, 571 nt
Filed under: Emersonella sp. MPAC-3
Lineage: Eukaryota; Metazoa; Arthropoda; Insecta; Hymenoptera; Eulophidae
Description: eukaryotic LSU rRNA
Rfam family: Eukaryotic large subunit ribosomal RNA
Source: RNAcentral
GCUAAAUAUGACCACNAGACCGAUCGCGAACAAGUACCGAGAGGGAAAGUUGAAAAGAACUUUGAAGAGAGAGUUCAAGAGUACGUGAAACCGUUCAGGGGUAAACCUGAGAAACCCAAAAGAUCGAAUGGGGAGAUUCAUCGUCAGCGCGGCUGGCUUCCGUGCGGUUCGCGAUGACCGGGACCUCGGUCUCGCGUCACGCGUCCGCUGCGGCAUGUCCGGCCGCGUCGGCGUGCACUUCUCCCCUARUAGGACGUCCCGACCCGUUKGGUGUCGGACCGAUWGCCGUUUGGUCGCCUGUCUCGUCGCGUUCACGCGUGCACGUGGCARCCGAAAUGGUCGAGCGUCCGGCUGYCCGGCGGUAUUGAACGCUUAUGAACGGUAAUGAGCCGCAUUAAGUGCGUUCAGGCUCGUCGGCAGGCUCGUCUCGCCCGGAUUUACGGACCUAGCGCCCUUCCSGGUGCUUGGCGUGGCCGUUAGUCGACMAUGUCCUCGGACUGGCUCUUAAAUUCGAAAGGAUUACCGGUCGGCGACGCUUCUGCUUUGGGUACUUUCAGGAMCCGUCUUGAAA